UGGAAAGCGGCGGACGGGUGAGUAACGCGUAGGCAACCUGCCCUGUACAGGGGGAUAGCCACCCGAAAAGGUGAUUAAUACCCCAUAACGCAAGAGAUACACAUGUAUCACUUGUCAAAGAUUUAUCGGUAUAGGAUGGGCCUGCGUCUGAUUAGCUAGUUGGUAGGGUAACGGCUUACCAAGGCAACGAUCAGUAGCCGACCUGAGAGGGUGAUCGGCCACAUUGGAACUGAGACACGGUCCAAACUCC
RNAcentral lists this ribosomal RNA (250 nucleotides) under uncultured Eubacterium sp. Its description in RNAcentral is "partial 16S ribosomal RNA". It matches the Rfam family "Bacterial small subunit ribosomal RNA", at positions 89 to 339 of the family's 1533-position model. The record is from RNAcentral. Lineage: Bacteria; Bacillati; Bacillota; Clostridia; Eubacteriales; Eubacteriaceae.